CUUCAGCGAGCCCAGCCAGAGCGGCCGGUCCGCCGGGCGGCCCUGGCCGUAGGUGGCCAGCAGUGCCUGUGCCUC
This 75-nucleotide antisense RNA is filed under the name Streptomyces scabiei. It matches the Rfam family "ASpks TB sRNA". The record is from RNAcentral. Lineage: Bacteria; Bacillati; Actinomycetota; Actinomycetes; Kitasatosporales; Streptomycetaceae.